AUUUGGAAGAUGUGUAUGUCUGAAAAAACCUGCUAUAUUUCUCAUUCCAACAGGGCUGUCUAAGCCAUCUGAUAUUAUAAUCAGAGACGAGGUCUGAGCUGCUGAACAAAGAAUAUACCCUCGUCUUUCAUCUGACGUCAUUUGUAGCAUGAAUCUAUUUUAUCCUUAGCAAGGCUAAUUUUUGUGUUUUAGACUCAGAGGAAAUAACUAACAUGGAUGGGAGUUCUUUUUCCAUUUUCCUGAGGACUUCUUUUCUUCUGCAGCCAAACUUUUUCUUCCUGGAGAGGCACAAUCAACAGUGAGUGUGAUUCUACCUCCGCAGUUUCACCAAUUGCUGGUGACUCUAGCUAAGCAGGCACAAUCUCUAGACUCUAGUUACCACUGUGGAAAGGAGAUGGGGAUGCUGAUGUGGAACCUUUUGAAGGUGGGAGUUUACUGAAGUUUCUAGCAAGUUGAGGAAGAAGUCGACAUCUGAAUCAGGGACCAGGAAGAUUGAGAGACUGUAUUAUGUAUUUGGGAUAAGUUUUUGAAAAGCUUUAAGCGGCAAGCCUUUGAGCUCCUUGGUGCUAUUGAAAUGAGAAGAAUGUCUUAGUUUCCAUCUGGUUGCUUGGGAAAGUCGGAAUCUUCAGUCAAAUAUGAUAAAAGGGUUAUUGAAAAAAUAUAUAUAUAUAUAUAUGAUAAUGGGUAUGAUAGAUAAAAGGACCAACUCAGAUUAGUAGCAGGUCUAUUGUCAGAAACCUUUCACUUGGCUUCCACGUGAGCUCAAUGUAGUACUUGUGAGUGGGAAAGGAAGAGAAAGAGAGUUUAGAAAGGAUCAGAGACAAGAGAGAGAGAGUAGAGAGAUUUGAGAAUGGUUUGAAUUCAAAUUUCCUAGUACAUUUUGAAUUAUCAUUACAGAGCUUAUUUAUACCCAUGAAACCGGUGAUUAACAAAGUUAGUUACAAUGACACUCGUAUGUGGUCCCCCUAUAUCUGUUAUAACUGACACCAUGCUUACCUAGUUAUCCCCCAUCUUAUUCCUCCUUCGGUAAGCCUUCACAGGUUUGCUAGUAUGCCUUUAAUACAUUAAUAGAGCUUUACUGGCAGCACCUCCCCCCUUGGACGCAACCUUGUCCCGAGGUUGAGGUAAGGAAAUUGAUGGUGCAAGAAUUCAGAGUCUUCACAAGUGCAGUCUUCAUCAUAUGUCCCAGAUCAAUGAACCAAGGCUUGGUCCACUUUCCCAUCUUGAAGGAUUUGCCUAUGUUGCAGGAUUUUGUCUGGGUGUACAAUCAUUAGUCCAUUGGAUCACAAUCUUGAAGAUCAGUAUAGUGGAGCUGUUUACCUGGAAAGUACUUCUUGAGCUGAGGGACAUGGAUUGCAAGGUGAACGCAGUAGUGGGAGGCAAUUUCAGUCCGUAGUCAACAUUGCCUACUCUUUGUGUGAUGUGAAAGGGGUUUGGGGACAAUUUGGAGCUUCCCUUGUUGUGAAGGUGUAGGAAUCUGACUUCUUGUAGAACCUGUACAUAUUGGCAUCUUCAAAAAAAUUUCCCUAUGAAGUAGAGUUGUAAUCGACUUCCGUAACUGGAAAUCAUUCCUUUUAUAGGACUGAUUUUAGUUUAAUUUCAUAUAAAACUCUUUCUAAUUUUUUACUAUAUAUUUAUCUAUUGUAAAUUAAGUAUCAUAAAUAAAAAUAUAGUAAAUAGAAAAUUUAAUUAUAAAUUUUCAUGAUAUCAAAGCAGGAUAUUUGAACUCUAAAAGAACUUUUUCUUUUUUUCUCUUUUCGAUGACCAGAUACGGAACGGUUAUGGCAAGAACUAGCGACCUCUUUGAAAUCAUAUAUUGGUCUGAUGGAAUUAUUUUCAUCAAACCCGAAUUGGAAACCACUCAAAUUCUGAUAAUUAGUCAUAAGGUAAGUGGAAGCAACUAUAUUUAAUGGUCUCAAUCGGUCAAGAUGUAUCUGCGGAAGAGAGAGAGAAGAAAAAACUCACUGGAGAAGUUACCCAACUGAGCACCGAAGACUCAAAGUUCAAAACUCGGAAGGCCGAGAAUAAUGUGGUCAUGUCAAAUGAUACAGUGAUAAUGUCUUGUUGUAUGGGAUAACAUGAUCAAAGGCCCUAACAGGAGGAAGGCCUCUGGGUUAUUGGAAGAAAUCCUUGUAUUUAGCCGGAAUGCUGGUCUACAAGACGGUUUCAGGGACUAAAAGCUUCAAAAAAUUAGUCCAUCUUACAUUACAAUGUGUUGCUCUUUGUUUAAGCCUUGUUGGUGUAUGGGCUGCCCUGAAAUUUCACAAUGAUAAGGGUAUCGAUAAUUUUUACAGCCUGCAUUCAUGGUUAGGCAUUGCUUGCCUUUUGCUAUUUGGCAUCCAGUGGGCGGCUGGAUUUGUAACAUUUUGGUACCCAGGUGGCUCCAGAAAUAGCCGAUCGAGCUUGCUUCCGUGGCAUGUGUUCCUUGGGGUUUACAUUUAUGCACUUGCUAUUGCUGCUGCUACCACUGGUAUUUUAGAGAAAGCUACAUUCCUUCAAACCAACCAGGUGAUAUCAAGAUACUCAACUGAAGCUUUAAUGGUGAACAGUUUGGGCAUUCUGAUAGUUCUUCUGGGUGGUUUUGUUAUCCUAGCUACAAUUACUCCCCCAAAUGGCAAAGGUGAAGUCAUCAGAAGUACAUCAGAGUAAGCACAUUUUGUUUGGCUUUUUAAUCUUUGGAUUAUAAUCAAUGUAUUUUUUUUCGCCCUAAGAAUUAGGAAAUAUAUUUGUCACAAGAUGGGCGUAUAGGAGAGAAAUUCGAAAACAAAAUUUAGUUCAUUAAGUAGCAGAAACAUUUGGAGGGUGAAAAUGGGUAGCAGAAAAUGACUUUUAACUCGUUAUCAAUGUUGAAUAUUGUAGGUUUUACCAAGAAAGUUGAAGUUAUUAAAUUUGCUUAAUCUAUAUUGAAUAUCAUAGGCAGUCCAGAAUGUUGUGGAA
This is a non-coding RNA of Carica papaya (papaya), 2937 nucleotides long. Lineage: Eukaryota; Viridiplantae; Streptophyta; Magnoliopsida; Brassicales; Caricaceae. The record is from RefSeq and is a predicted model, not a curated record.